UGGGGAAUAUUGGACAAUGGGCGCAAGCCUGAUCCAGCGACGCCGCGUGUGUGAAGAAGGUCUUCGGAUUGUAAAGCACUUUAAGUUGGGAGGAAGGGCAGUAAGUUAAUACCUUGCUGUUUUGACGUUACCGACAGAAUAAGCACCGGCUAACUCUGUGCCAGCAGCCGCGGUAAUACAGAGGGUGCAAGCGUUAAUCGGAAUUACUGGGCGUAAAGCGCGCGUAGGUGGUUUGUUAAGUUGGAUGUGAAAGCCCCGGGCUCAACCUGGGAACUGCAUCCAAAACUGGCAAGCUAGAGUACGGUAGAGGGUGGUGGAAUUUCCUGUGUAGCGGUGAAAUGCGUAGAUAUAGGAAGGAACACCAGUGGCGAAGGCGACCACCUGGACUGAUACUGACACUGAGGUGCGAAAGCGUGGGGAGCAAACAGGAUUAGAUACCCAUGUAGUCCCUGAGCGGGCUGGCAAGGCGCAU
This 472-nucleotide ribosomal RNA is filed under the name uncultured bacterium. RNAcentral describes it as "bacterial SSU rRNA". It matches the Rfam family "Bacterial small subunit ribosomal RNA", at positions 355 to 825 of the family's 1533-position model. The record is from RNAcentral.